UACGGGAUAAUAUAUUUGAGAGGCAUCUCUUAAAUAUCAAAGGUGAGCCAGUACAGGAUGGACCCGCGUCUGAUUAGCUAGUUGGUAAGGUAACGGCUUACCAAGGCGACGAUCAGUAGCCGACCUGAGAGGGUGAUCGGCCACAUUGGAACUGAGACACGGUCCAAACUCCUACGGGAGGCAGCAGUGGGGAAUAUUGCACAAUGGGCGAAAGCCUGAUGCAGCAACGCCGCGUGAGUGAUGAAGGC
Molecule: ribosomal RNA, 248 nt
Filed under: Clostridioides sp. ZZV15-6383
Lineage: Bacteria; Bacillati; Bacillota; Clostridia; Peptostreptococcales; Peptostreptococcaceae
Description: partial 16S ribosomal RNA
Rfam family: Bacterial small subunit ribosomal RNA
Source: RNAcentral